Molecule: unclassified non-coding RNA, 419 nt
Filed under: Heptapleurum ellipticum
Lineage: Eukaryota; Viridiplantae; Streptophyta; Magnoliopsida; Apiales; Araliaceae
Description: Schefflera elliptica partial may contain external transcribed spacer and partial 18S ribosomal RNA gene
Source: RNAcentral
UGGGUUGGUCGGAUCCCUGCUUGGGCAGCGACGACCGCUCUUACAUCCCUUUUCAUUCAUUCUUCAAGAGCGAUAAGCCUCGGACCAAUUCGGUUGCUUGUGUUUUAUACCUACGUUGAUGGAAUUUGCUCGUCCAAUCAUCCCUUAUUCACCUUGCGCUGCUAACGCGGUGCGGGAUGAACCACGCAGUGUCCUUUCUUGUCUGUUCUUACCUCGCGUUCGUGCGACGCAUAAAACGGCCAAUGUUGUGACACUCGAAUUCUCGGAUAUGGAACCUUAAGUGGGCAACCGGCCUUUGGCCUUGAUUUGUCCAAACUAAGCGUUCUCGCUUCUUAAGAACGAUUGUCGAGCCCGUUUUGACCUGAGGAUACUUUUGGUCCGACUGAUCAUGCGGUGCCGACAUCGAAGAGGAAUGCUAC